RNAcentral lists this ribosomal RNA (1750 nucleotides) under activated sludge metagenome. RNAcentral describes it as "bacterial LSU rRNA". It matches the Rfam family "Bacterial large subunit ribosomal RNA", at positions 1105 to 2925 of the family's 2925-position model. The record is from RNAcentral.
CUUGGAAGCAGCAAUUCAUUUAAAGAGUGCGUAACAGCUCACUAGUCGAGCGUUUCUGCGCGGAAAAUAAGCGGGCAUCAAACUAUAUACCGAAGCUAUGGACUUAAGUGAUUAAGUGGUAGGGGAGCAUUCAGUCGGGUUGAAGCGGGAUGGUGAUGUUCCGUGGACUGAACUGAAAAGCAAAUGUAGGCAUAAGUAACGAUAAAUGGCGUGGAAAACGUCAUCGCCGUAAGACUAAGGGUUCCUUGAUCUACGUUCAUCGGAUCAGGGUUAGCCGGGACCUAAGGAUAAGCCGAAAGGUGAUUUCGAUGGAAAGUGGGUUAAUAUUCCUACGCCUGUGUAUACUGCGAGUUGGGGACGGAGUUGAAGAGUCAUCGCGUACUUACGGAAUAGUACGUUAAAGCGCAAGCGAUAGUACACUGAGGGCUUCGGCCUGAAGUGAUAGUGUGGCGAAUUGACUUCCAGGAAAAGCCGACAAAGCAUCAGGUAUAUACAGCCCGUACCGUAAACCGACACAGGUAGUCGAGGAGAGCAUCCUAAGGCGCUCGAGUGAUUCGUGGCUAAGGAACUAGGCAAAAUGGUCUCGUAACUUCGGGAGAAGAGACGCUGGCAGCAAUGUCAGCCGCAGUGAAGAGGCCCAGGCGACUGUUUAGCAAAAACACAGGGCUAUGCCAAAUCGUAAGAUGAUGUAUAUGGCCUGACACCUGCCCGGUGCCGGAAGGUUAAGGAAGGGGCUUAGUGCGCAAGUGCGAAGGUCUUAACUGAAGCCCCGGUAAACGGCGGCCGUAACUAUAACGGUCCUAAGGUAGCGAAAUUCCUUGUCGGGUAAGUUCCGACCUGCACGAAUGGUGUAACGAUCUGGGCACUGUCUCAGCCACGAGCUCGGUGAAAUUGAAGUAUCGGUGAAGAUGCCGAUUACCCGCAACGGGACGGAAAGACCCCGUGAACCUUUACUACAGCUUUGCAUUGGGCUUGACUAUUCGAUGCGUAGGAUAGGUGGGAGGCGCUGAUCUUGGUAUUCCGGUACUGAGGGAGUCGACGUUGAAAUACCACCCUUUGACUAGUUGAGUCCUAACGGAGAAAUCCAGACAGUGCAUGGUGGGUAGUUUGACUGGGGUGGUCACCUCCUAAAGAGUAACGGAGGUUUGCAAAGGUACCCUCAGCAUGGACGGUAAUCAUGCGAAGAGCGUAUUAGUAUAAGGGUGCUUGACUGAGAGACCGACGGGUCGAUCAGGGACGAAAGUCGGCUAAAGUGAUCCGGUGGUUCCGCAUGGAAGGGCCAUCGCUCAAAGGAUAAAAGGUACUCCGGGGAUAACAGGCUGAUCUCCCCCAAGAGCUCAUAUCGACGGGGAGGUUUGGCACCUCGAUGUCGGCUCGUCGCAUCCUGGGGCUGGAGAAGGUCCCAAGGGUUGGGCUGUUCGCCCAUUAAAGCGGCACGUGAGCUGGGUUCAGAACGUCGCAAGACAGUUCGGUCCCUAUCUGUUGUGGGCGCGAGAAGAUUGAAGAGACCUGACACUAGUACGAGAGGACCGUGUUGGACGAACCUCUUGUGUACCGGUUGUGCCGCCAGGUGCAUUGCCGGGUAGCAAUGUUCGGACGGGAUAAGCGCUGAAAGCAUCUAAGCGCGAAGCCUACUCUGAGAUGAAUCUUCCGAUUAAGGGUCGCAGGAGACUACUGCGUUGAUAGGCGGCAGGUGGAAGUGUGGUGACAUAUUGAGCCGAGCCGUACUAAUUACCCGUAAGCUUCCUUU